RNAcentral lists this ribosomal RNA (116 nucleotides) under Klebsiella pneumoniae. Lineage: Bacteria; Pseudomonadati; Pseudomonadota; Gammaproteobacteria; Enterobacterales; Enterobacteriaceae. The record is from RNAcentral. RNAcentral also lists the same sequence under 5 other names.
CCUGGCGGCACUAGCGCGGUGGUCCCACCUGACCCCAUGCCGAACUCAGAAGUGAAACGCCGUAGCGCCGAUGGUAGUGUGGGGUUUCCCCAUGUGAGAGUAGGGAACUGCCAGGC